Molecule: ribosomal RNA, 254 nt
Filed under: uncultured bacterium
Lineage: Bacteria
Description: partial small subunit ribosomal RNA
Rfam family: Bacterial small subunit ribosomal RNA
Source: RNAcentral
AGGACGAACGCUGGCGGCGUGCUUAACACAUGCAAGUCGAGCGGAAAGGCCCUUCGGGGUACUCGAGCGGCGAACGGGUGAGUAACACGUGAGUAACCUGCCCCUAGCUCUGGGAUAGCUCCGGGAAACCGGAAUUAAUACCAGAUACGACCACUUUAGACAUCUGUCGUGGUGGAAAGGAUUCCGGCUAGGGAUGGGCUCGCGGCCUAUCAGCUUGUUGGUGGGGUAACGGCCUACCAAGGCGACGACGGGUA